GUACAAUAAAAAGCAGCUAUAGAAGUGUAUUUCUCGACACAUUCUUUACACAGAUCUCCAGUUGUGUCCAGGACGGUUUACAGACAAGGUCCAAGAUGAAGCUUGCAACGAUGAGCCUGUUGUCUAUUGUGUGCCUGCUGGGGGUCAUCCUGGGUAUCCAGGCCAACGGAUACGGCGGAGGCUACACGUAUAUGCCUGUUUCACCCGGCUACUAUGGCGGCGGCGGUGGUGGUUUUGGCAAUGGAGGAUUCCUGGCAUUAAUAGGGGCCCUAUUCAUCAUAAUACUGCUGUUUAGCGGAGGUUUCACUAAUGGUACUUCCGGUCAAGAACUUGAGUUUAUCCAAGGACGCUAAUUGGGAAUGCUGAAAAAAGGUGUAUAAACAUUAUAACGACACGAGAACAACAAUAUAUCAUCAGUACUAGCUGAGGGGAAGCUACCAUAUUUCUUGUACAGUCUUUCUUUUUUGAAAUAAAUGUUAUUUCUGUUGAA
Molecule: long non-coding RNA, 490 nt
Organism: Mercenaria mercenaria
Lineage: Eukaryota; Metazoa; Mollusca; Bivalvia; Venerida; Veneridae
Exons: 4
Source: RefSeq, a predicted model, not a curated record